Molecule: ribosomal RNA, 200 nt
Filed under: uncultured archaeon
Lineage: Archaea
Description: partial 16S ribosomal RNA
Rfam family: Archaeal small subunit ribosomal RNA
Source: RNAcentral
GCCCAACGCAGUGGGCGUCCGACGGAAACUGCACAGCUUGGGACCGGAAGGCUCCAGGGGUACGUUCGCGGUAAGAGUGAAAUCCUAUAAUCCCGCCACGGACCACCAGAUGGCGAAAGCACUUCGAGAAAACGGAUCCGACAGUGAGGGACGAAAGCCAUGGUCUCCAACCGGAUUAGAUACCCGGGUAGUCCUGGCCG